UGGUCACCUUGUUUCAGUACACUGCAAGGAAAAUAAUGACUUUGUCCUAAAUUUAAUAUGAAAUGCAAAUAUCACAUUUCAUAAGGUUUGGCUUGGUAGCUCCAAUUUCUACAAAAAUGGUAGAGAGUUGUGGAUGGAUGGAUCCCAAUGGGAUUAUCAUAACAGGCUUUUAAGAAAACCUGUAAAUGGCUCACGCUGCCAAGCAAUGAAGACGCAUGAGGAGGAUACUGAUUAAUGCUGACAUGUUACUGCAUGAAUAUUUUUCAUCUUUGUCCAAGUCUCAAACAUCAAUCCAGAAAUGCCCUAUACAGGCUCUGACAUCUUCCCCAGACCUAGCAGAGUCGGGAAAUUUGGGGCCCUACCUGGUGGGCAGGGACCUGAAGGCCCUGUUGGACAGCUGGUACACA
This is a long non-coding RNA of Stegostoma tigrinum, 407 nucleotides long. RefSeq lists it as uncharacterized. NCBI's taxonomy places the organism in Eukaryota, Metazoa, Chordata, Chondrichthyes, Orectolobiformes, Stegostomatidae. The record is from RefSeq and is a predicted model, not a curated record. The transcript is spliced from 3 exons.